AUUGAACGCUGGCGGCAGGCCUAACACAUGCAAGUCGAGCGGAUGAAGGGAGCUUGCUCCUGGAUUCAGCGGCGGACGGGUGAGUAAUGCCUAGGAAUCUGCCUUGUAGUGGGGGGAUAACGUCCGUAAACGGGCGCUAAUACCUCAUACGUCCUGAGGUAGACAGUGGGGGAUCUUCGGACCUCACGCUAUCAGAUGAGCCUAGGUCGGAUUAGCUAGUUGGUGGGGUAAUGGCCUACCAAGGCGACGAUCCGUAACUGGUCUGAGAGGAUGAUCAGUCACACUGGAACUGAGACACGGUCCAGACUCCUACGGGAGGCAGCAGUGGGGAAUAUUGGACAAUGGGCGAAAGCCUGAUCCAGCCAUGCCGCGUGUGUGAAGAAGGUCUUCGGAUUGUAAAGCACUUUAAGUUGGGAGGAAGGGCAGUAAGUUAAUACCUUGCUGUUUUGACGUUACCAACAGAAUAAGCACCGGCUAACUUCGUG
Molecule: ribosomal RNA, 485 nt
Filed under: uncultured bacterium
Lineage: Bacteria
Description: partial 16S ribosomal RNA
Rfam family: Bacterial small subunit ribosomal RNA
Source: RNAcentral